RNAcentral lists this ribosomal RNA (459 nucleotides) under Triticum aestivum (bread wheat). Its description in RNAcentral is "partial small subunit ribosomal RNA". The record is from RNAcentral. Lineage: Eukaryota; Viridiplantae; Streptophyta; Magnoliopsida; Poales; Poaceae.
AUGGCUAGGUGUGUUUGGGCAUUAGGAGACGAGUAUUUGCUUGAGCAUGUGCUAUCUGCCACAAAAUUCAACUGUGAUGGCAGUUUGUCUAUCCUGGGGGAGAAAGGAGCAGCGGCAGUGGUCUGCAGAGGUUUGCCUGAUCCAUCUAGCCUGGAGGCGAAAGCAUGCUGUGAAGCAAUGGCCCUUUCACAGGAUCUUCAUUUACAAGACUUGGUGAUUGCCUCAGAUUGCCUGGAAGUUAUUUCAAACUUAAAGGGAGGAGGGUCUCCGGUGUAUGCUCCUAUCCUUAGAGAGAUUCAGUUUAGUACAAACUUAUUUUCUUCUGUUGAUUUCCGUUUUGAGCAUAGGGAAAAUAAUUUCGAGGCCCAUUCGCUGGCUAAAGGAGCUGCGUCUCUGGCGGUGGGCCGCCAUGUGUGGCUAGGGGUUCGCCUGAACAUCGUUUGUAUUCCUUUGUUAUGA